This is an RNA transcript of Vombatus ursinus (common wombat), 2090 nucleotides long. It is a transcript of the gene named C-type lectin domain family 4 member K-like, with no coding region annotated. NCBI's taxonomy places the organism in Eukaryota, Metazoa, Chordata, Mammalia, Diprotodontia, Vombatidae. The transcript has 7 exons. The record is from RefSeq and is a predicted model, not a curated record.
GAGGGCAAAGCUACUGCUCUCCCUACCAAGACCCAGAGUCAAGAAGGACUCCCACUGACCAGGCUGCUCCUAAGGAGAAGACAAGAUAGACAGAGAGGGAAUCUCAGAAAACAUGACCCAGAGAAACAUGGUACCUCAGACUGAAAAGGACUUGAGGAAGCUAAGGAUCAUCCAAGCUGCCCUGGCACUCUUGGUUCUUGCCCUGGCUGCCACCCUUAAAGUUGUGGUUAUUCUAUAUCUUCAAGGGAAAAAUGGCCAACUUGAGAGAGCCAAAGUCUCCAAUGCAGCUCUGAAACUUCAAAACCAAAUUCUUGUUCAGAGAAUCUUAGAGCGUAACAUCAUCCACGGUGGAAAUCUCUACUACUUUUCCUGUGACAAAAUGUCUUGGAACAAUGCUGAGCAGUAUUGUGUAUCAAAGGGCUCCCACCUGGCCUCAGUGACUUCAGUGAAAGAACAGAAAUUUCUUUAUGAAAAAGCCAAUGGUACCUAUUAUUGGAUUGGACUGAGUAACCAAAAUGCUUUAGGCUGGCAAUGGACUGAUGGGACCUCAUAUGAUGAAGCCCAAAGCAAAGAGGAGAAGGGCUUAGAAGACUGCAUGGCCCUGGAUGUGAGGAGGAGAGGAAUGCAGCAAUCAUCUGGGCUAUUUCCAGAAGGGAUUAGACAACUAUGUCCCUGAAGCUUGCCUCCUAUGCCCAGUCUUUCUAGGCUCUGGCUGUGGGCUGGGCAGGUUCUGGGCCAAUAAGAGACCAAGCAAUGAAAAAGAAAAUUAUAACUGUGCCCAUUUCUGGGCAAAGACACAAAAAUCAUGGAAUAAUUACAUUUGCACAUUUUCUUUCAAGUUUAUCUGUAAGUGGAACUGUGAGUCAUCUAGGAUGUGCCAAAACACAUAAACAUCUGGCACCUGAAUGCUGCUGACCCCCCCGCCCCAGAAGCAAUGUGGCAGAUGGCAGACAUUGGGCCACCUACCUUGCAUACAAUGGAGUUUAUGGGUGCCAUUUUCCUUUCCAAUAUCAAGUUCCCCCAAAGGAACCUAGAAGUCUAUGUAAUGUCUGAUCACUUGUGCCGAAUGAUAUCCCCAUGCCUUCAGGCAGCCAUAGACCCUCCUUCUUCUCCUAGUCAUCAUUGCUAGAGCAAUCACCCAGACUUGUGCCCUCACCAUUCACUCAUUUCUCCAGGUGCCUCUCACAUGUGCAAUGCAGUUCCUGCCCAGUCUUCUUUCCUCUUCCCCAAUGAGUUGAGGAACAAGUUUGAAGAGAGAGUCCUGACAAGACUUGCUCACUGUCCUGCUCCCCCAAGGAGAACAAAUCCCAAGAUUCCUACCUACUGAUCACUAGGUCUGGAAAUCACAAGAUCCCAGCUCACCUUAGCUCUAAAAUACCCCUCAAGGACAGUCUGGCUCCUCUCUCUGUCCAGAGGCUGGAGGCAAAACUCGGUUACUUUUAUUUCCUACUGGAGAUCCAGGAAGAGGAAGGCAUCCUGUCAGAUUAAAAUGUACAUAAACAAUCAAGAUUCCGUACUGAACAAGGGGAGGUGAGGGUAUGUGAUUCUAUAGAAAGGGUGGUAUUAUAUAUAAUACAUAUAUAUGUAUAUAUGUACAGAUGACAAAUGAUAUUUUGUGUACAUACAUACACAUAUAGAUAGAUAAAUAGAUAUAGAUACAUAAACACUUUGCAAACCAUUAAGUGCUAUAUACAUACAAACCUUUGCUAAUAUCUCAUUUACAUUUUUUAAAUGGCACUUAAACAAUCCUGGGCAGGAGUGUGAUGAGCUGAUUGUUAAAUGUUCACCAUGAGCAUUUACACAUUGGAAAUCGAUAACUCCACAUCAAGACUUGAUUUAUUGUUUUGUUGAUUAUCUAGGCUUAAGAAAGUGCUAAUAAUAUUGAAAUGUAUGUCAUGAGAACAUCUUUUUUCCUGUUUUUGUUAAACAUUUACCAACACACCCUUGGCCCUGGGACAAGUCACCAAAGAUUGCACUAAGUCCCUAAGAACAAGUCAAUAUCCUACUAUUGCUUUUUAAAAAACAUUUGAUGAUCUAUGUGCUAUUGUCCAGGUGGAUAAAAUAGCUGAAUAAAAGAAUUUGGAUAUAAA